GGCUCUGUAGUGCAAUGGAUAGCACAUUAGACUUCUAAUUGAAAGGUGGUGGGUUCAACUCCUACUGGAGUCA
This is a non-coding RNA of Gymnothorax javanicus (giant moray), 73 nucleotides long. NCBI's taxonomy places the organism in Eukaryota, Metazoa, Chordata, Actinopteri, Anguilliformes, Muraenidae. The record is from the annotation of a GenBank genome assembly.